This is a long non-coding RNA of Daphnia magna, 1372 nucleotides long. RefSeq lists it as uncharacterized. The record is from RefSeq and is a predicted model, not a curated record. NCBI's taxonomy places the organism in Eukaryota, Metazoa, Arthropoda, Branchiopoda, Diplostraca, Daphniidae. The transcript is spliced from 3 exons.
ACUCUGACUGACGAUACUUUAAUCACCACGCUAAUUCAAGUCGAGAAACUUCUCAACGGCCGCCCGUUAACGUAUGUAAGCGUAAACCCGGCGGAUCCUGAACCCAUUACGCCAAAUCAUCUUCUCCUUGGACACGAAAAUCCGUACAUACCUUUUGAUCUGUUCGACGAAAACGAUAUGACGACCAAAAGGAAGUACCGCAUUGCUCAGUACCUAACUGAUUGUUUCCGGAGACGUUGGAUGAAAGAGUAUCUUCCCAGCCUAACGGAACGACGAAAAUGGCUACAUGGACAAAGAAUCUGAACGUUGGCGACAUCGUGAUCGUUAUCGAGCCAGAUACACCCCGUGGAGAAUGGCCAAUCGCUCGUGUCGUCAAGGUGUUUUCCGGCCCAGAUGGCGUAGUCCGUUCCGCAAUCGUUCACCUUCGUUCGGCUACCAAAACCUCCGAACUUCACCGCCCGGCUGUGAAACUCUGCUUGUUGGAGUCUUGGGAUACGGAUGGUGCGUCCGCUUACGAACGCAGAGCCGGCUAUGUUCCGAAUCCUACAACUCCGAAAUAGCUAGAAGAGGCUUUGUCGCGAUCGGUAUUGUGCCAUAGGCGAGAACGGAGGCAGGGGAACGUAGACGACGCAACGACAAGGGAAGAACACGUUUGGCGGCGUUAAUUACACACAAGAAUUUGCCAGUUACAGACGCGUCAAUCGUUUUCAAUAUAACAGUUUUGUAACACUUAAAUGUCAGUCUGAUUUAACGUGCCCGUAAAACAAUACAGAGUAUCGAAAAUUACCUACAGUGUAAAGUCAGUGCGUAUCGAUAACAUUGGCUGUAGACGUCAAACGUUUUUCUCAACCAGCAUUUUCCUUCUCUCUUGAAAUCCUAAAGAGUCGAAAUUUUGAACCCCUGCCAGCCGAACGGCUAAUAAUUGAGCAAAAUCUUUGGGUGUACCUUGUUUUCUACACGAAAGAACCUACCCAACAAAAAUGAUCUAAAUCGCAGAGAUGGUCGCAACGACCGCUGAAUGUUUUGGUGAGGAAUGAUGUACUGCCCUUAACUUUCCUGAUGCUUACGCUCAAAGGGUCAGAUGCUUGGACAGAAUCAUAGCUUUUUUAUACUAGCGCCGUAUUUUUUUGUUAUUACGACAGGUUCCGAUGAAAUUCGCAGCUGAAACUAACUUUACUCAAGCUUUUCCACCCUUUAGGUAAUACUCGCCGUCUGCGGAAGACAAAUGUUCCCUUAGGUGAAUAGGCUAAAUAAGCGACAAGUUGCUUCAAACGUCGUUAGUAGGUACACGUAGCACAGAAUAAAGGAUUGAACUGCAGCCAACGGAAGUGAACCAUCAUCUGGGAUUGCCGUUUUCUUGCUGGAUAUUAAG